Podarcis lilfordi (Lilford's wall lizard) is the source of this 75-nucleotide non-coding RNA. Lineage: Eukaryota; Metazoa; Chordata; Lepidosauria; Squamata; Lacertidae. The record is from the annotation of a GenBank genome assembly.
GCUCUGAUAUAGCUCAGUCGGUAGAGCAUGAGCCUCUUAAUCUCAGGGUCGCGGGUUCAAGUCCCAUGUUGGGUG